Molecule: microRNA precursor, 102 nt
Filed under: Nematostella vectensis (starlet sea anemone)
Lineage: Eukaryota; Metazoa; Cnidaria; Anthozoa; Actiniaria; Edwardsiidae
Description: microRNA nve-mir-2047 precursor
Source: miRBase by way of RNAcentral
AUCCGGGAGUAAAUUCGUAACUGCUCAAUUCGCCGAGCAGAUGUCGGAGAGUUCAACUGUCAGACAUCUGCUCGGCGAAUUGAGCAGUUAUUUUGACCAAGA